CAAUAAGCGGAGGAAAAGAAACCAACAGGGAUUGCCCCAGUAACGGCGAGUGAAGCGGCAAAAGCUCAAAUUUGAAAUCUGGCUCCCAUUCGGGGGUCCGAGUUGUAAUUUGAAGAGGAUGCUUCGGGUGUGGCCGCGGCGUAAGUUCCUUGGAACAGGACGUCAGAGAGGGUGAGAAUCCCGUCUUAAGCCGCUGGUCCACGCCCGUUUGAAGCUCCUUCGACGAGUCGAGUUGUUUGGGAAUGCAGCUCUAAAUGGGUGGUAAAUUUCAUCUAAAGCUAAAUAUUGGCCGGAGACCGAUAGCGCACAAGUAGAGUGAUCGAAAGGUUAAAAGCACCUUGAAAAGGGAGUUAAACAGCACGUGAAAUUGUUGAAAGGGAAGCGCUUGCAACCAGAUUCGGCCGCGGGGGUUCAGCAGGCGUUCUCGCCUGUGUACUCCCCCGCGCGUCGGGCUAGCAUCAGUUCUGGCGGUUGGUUAAAGAUCUCUGGAAUGUGUCGCCCUCCGGGGCGUCUUAUAGCCAGGGGUGUAAUGCUGCCAGCCGGGACUGAGGAACGCGCUUCGGCUCGGAUGCUGGCAUAAUGGUUGUAAGCGGCCCGUCUUGAAACAC
Molecule: ribosomal RNA, 608 nt
Filed under: Amauroascus aureus
Lineage: Eukaryota; Fungi; Ascomycota; Eurotiomycetes; Onygenales; Onygenaceae
Description: partial 28S ribosomal RNA
Rfam family: Eukaryotic large subunit ribosomal RNA
Source: RNAcentral